RNAcentral lists this ribosomal RNA (256 nucleotides) under Bacillus safensis. RNAcentral describes it as "partial 23S ribosomal RNA". It matches the Rfam family "Bacterial large subunit ribosomal RNA", at positions 266 to 516 of the family's 2925-position model. The record is from RNAcentral. Lineage: Bacteria; Bacillati; Bacillota; Bacilli; Caryophanales; Bacillaceae.
AGCCCAAACCAAGAGGCUUGCCUCUUGGGGUUGUAGGACACUCUAUACGGAGUUACAAAGGAAUGAUAUAAGCGAAGAGGUCUGGAAAGGCCCGCCAAAGAAGGUAACAGCCCUGUAACUGAAAUGUCGUUCUCUCCAGAGUGGAUCCUGAGUACGGCGGAACACGUGAAAUUCCGUCGGAAUCCGGGAGGACCAUCUCCCAAGGCUAAAUACUCCCUAGUGACCGAUAGUGAACCAGUACCGUGAGGGAAAGGUG